CCUACGGGAGGCAGCAGUGAGGAAUCUUGGUCAAUGGCCGGAAGGCUGAACCAGCCAUGCCGCGUGAAGGUCAGUGCCCUAUGGGCGUUAAACUUCUUUUGUGCGGGAGCAAUAAUGGUCACGUGUGGCCAGACGAGAGUACCGUACGAAUAAGCAUCGGCUAACUCCGUGCCAGCAGCCGCGGUAAUACUGGGGAUGCAAGCGUUAUCCGGAUUUAUUGGGUUUAAAAGGUGCGUAGGCUGUGAGGUAAGUCAGCGGUGAAAUGCCCCCGCUCAACGGGGUGAAGUGUCAUUGAUACUGCCUAGCUGGAAUGCGGAUGCCGUGAGAGGAAUGUGUGGUGUAGCGGUGAAAUGCAUAGAUAUCACACAGAACACCGAUUGCGAAGGCAGCUCACGAAUCCGCGAUUGACGCUGAGGCACGAAAGCGUGGGUAUCAAACAGGAUUAGAUACCCCGGUAGUC
Molecule: ribosomal RNA, 460 nt
Filed under: uncultured bacterium
Lineage: Bacteria
Description: partial 16S ribosomal RNA
Rfam family: Bacterial small subunit ribosomal RNA
Source: RNAcentral